GACAGAGGUCCCGAGCGUUAGGCGGAAUCACUGGGCUUAAAGCGUGUGUAGGCGGAUCGUUAAGUGCCUUGUGAAAUCCCACGGCUUAACCGUGGAACUGCUUGGCAUACUGGCGGUCUUGAGCCACUUAGGGGCAACCGGAACAAAUGGUGGAGCGGUGAAAUGCGUAGAUAUCAUUUGGAACGCCAAUGGUGAAAACAGGUUGCUGGGGGUGUGCUGACGCUGAGACACGAAAGCCAGGGGAGCGAACGGG
RNAcentral lists this ribosomal RNA (253 nucleotides) under uncultured bacterium. RNAcentral describes it as "partial 16S ribosomal RNA". It matches the Rfam family "Bacterial small subunit ribosomal RNA", at positions 524 to 776 of the family's 1533-position model. The record is from RNAcentral.